RNAcentral lists this transfer RNA (71 nucleotides) under Johnius grypotus. Its description in RNAcentral is "tRNA-Trp". The record is from RNAcentral. Lineage: Eukaryota; Metazoa; Chordata; Actinopteri; Sciaenidae.
CAGAAGCUGAGGGAUUUUAACCCCCGCUAAGGGCUUUGAAGGCCCUUGGUCUAGUGUUAACCUAAGCCUCU